AAUGGACGCUGGCGGCAUGCCUAACACAUGCAAGUCGAACGAGAACACUUCUUCGGAAGUAAGUACAGUGGCGAACGGGUGAGUAACGCGUAAGGAUCUACCUUUUUAGUGGGAAUACCUUCGGGGAAACUGGAGUUAAUACCGCAUGAAUCUUGCGAGAUAAAGACGGCCUCUUUGCUGUCGCUAAAAGAUGAACUUGCGUACUAUUAGUUAGUUGGUGGGGUAAAGGCCUACCAAGACGAUGAUGGUUAGCCGGCCUGAGAGGGUGAUCGGCCACAUUGGGACUGAGAUACGGCCCAGACUCCUACGGGAGGCAGCAGUGGGGAAUAUUGCACAAUGGGCGCAAGCCUGAUGCAGCAAUGCCGCGUGAAGGAUGAAGGCUUUCGAGUCGUAAACUUCUGUUAAGUGGGAAGAAAGACAUGGCGUUAAUAGCGUCGUGGGAUGACGGUACCACUAGAGAAAGCUCCGGCUAACUUCGUG
Molecule: ribosomal RNA, 480 nt
Filed under: uncultured bacterium
Lineage: Bacteria
Description: bacterial SSU rRNA
Rfam family: Bacterial small subunit ribosomal RNA
Source: RNAcentral